CCUACGGGUGGCAGCAGUGGGGAAUAUUGCGCAAUGGGCGAAAGCCUGACGCAGCGACGCCGCGUGAGGGAUGAAGGUCUUCGGAUCGUAAACCUCUGUCAGCAGGGAAGAACGGUCACUGUGCUAAUCAGCAGUGAAUUGACGGUACCUGCAAAGGAAGCACCGGCUAACUCCGUGCCAGCAGCCGCGGUAAUACGGAGGGUGCGAGCGUUAAUCGGAAUUACUGGGCGUAAAGCGCUCGUAGGCGGUAUGUCAAGUCAAGGGUGAAAUCUCCGAGCUCAACGGGGGAACUGCCUUUGAAACUGGCAGACUGGAGUGUGUGAGAGGAAAGUGGAAUUCGUGGUGUAGGGGUGAAAUCCGUAGAUAUCUGGAGGAACAUCAGUGGCGAAGGCGACUAACUGGCACAUCACUGACGCUGAGGAGCGAAAGCGUGGGUAGCAAACAGGAUUAGAUACCCCUGUAGUC
This 465-nucleotide ribosomal RNA is filed under the name uncultured bacterium. Its description in RNAcentral is "partial 16S ribosomal RNA". It matches the Rfam family "Bacterial small subunit ribosomal RNA", at positions 338 to 795 of the family's 1533-position model. The record is from RNAcentral.